UACGAAGGGGGCUAGCGUUGCUCGGAAUCACUGGGCGUAAAGGGUGCGUAGGCGGGUCUUUAAGUCAGGGGUGAAAUCCUGGAGCUCAACUCCAGAACUGCCUUUGAUACUGAGGAUCUCGAGUCCGGAAGAGGUGAGUGGAACUCCGAGUGUAGAGGUGAAAUUCGUAGAUAUUCGGAAGAACACCAGUGGCGAAGGCGGCUCACUGGACUGGUAUUGACGCUGAGGUGCGAAAGCGUGGGGAGCAAACAGG
RNAcentral lists this ribosomal RNA (253 nucleotides) under uncultured bacterium. RNAcentral's name for it is "partial 16S ribosomal RNA". It matches the Rfam family "Bacterial small subunit ribosomal RNA", at positions 524 to 776 of the family's 1533-position model. The record is from RNAcentral.